GCGAAUGGCUCAUUAUAUAAGUUAUCGUUUAUUUGAUAGUACCUUACUACUUGGAUAACCGUGGUAAUUCUAGAGCUAAUACAUGCUAAAAAUCCCGACUUCGGAAGGGAUGUAUUUAUUAGAUUAAAAACCAAUGCCCUCUGGGCUCUCUGGUGAUUCAUGAUAACUUCGCGAAUCGCAUGGCCUUGCGCCGGCGAUGGCUCAUUCAAAUUUCUUCCCUAUCAACUUUCGAUGUUUGGGUAUUGGCCAAACAUGGUUGCAACGGGUAACGGAGGGUUAGGGCUCGACCCCGGAGAAGGAGCCUGAGAAACGGCUACUACAUCCAAGGAAGGCAGCAGGCGCGCAAAUUACCCAAUCCCGACACGGGGAGGUAGUGACAAUAAAUACUGAUACAGGGCUCUUUUGGGUCUUGUAAUUGGAAUGAGUACAAUUUAAAUCCCUUAACGAGGAACAAUUGGAGGGCAAGUCUGGUGCCAGCAGCCGCGGUAAUUCCAGCUCCAAUAGCGUAUAUUAAAGUUGUUGUGGUUAAAAAGCUCGUAGUUGAACCUUGGGCCUGGCUGGCCGGUCCGCCUCACCGCGUGUACUGGUCCGGCCGGGCCUUUCCCUCUGUGGAACCUCAUGCCCUUCACUGGGUGUGGCGGGGAAACAGGACUUUUACUUUGAAAAAAUUAGAGUGCUCAAGGCAGGCCUAUGCUCGAAUACAUUAGCAUGGAAUAAUAGAAUAGGACGUGUGGUUCUAUUUUGUUGGUUUCUAGGACCGCCGUAAUGAUUAAUAGGGACAGUCGGGGGCAUCAGUAUUCAAUUGUCAGAGGUGAAAUUCUUGGAUUUAUUGAAGACUAACUACUGCGAAAGCAUUUGCCAAGGAUGUUUUCAUUAAUCAGGAACGAAAGUUAGGGGAUCGAAGACGAUCAGAUACCGUCGUAGUCUUAACCAUAAACUAUGCCGACUAGGGAUCGGACGAUGUUAUUUUUUGACUCGUUCGGCACCUUACGAGAAAUC
RNAcentral lists this ribosomal RNA (999 nucleotides) under Calcarisporium sp. LB2012-1. Its description in RNAcentral is "SSU rRNA". It matches the Rfam family "Eukaryotic small subunit ribosomal RNA", at positions 89 to 1099 of the family's 1831-position model. Lineage: Eukaryota; Fungi; Ascomycota; Sordariomycetes; Hypocreales; Calcarisporiaceae. The record is from RNAcentral.